RNAcentral lists this long non-coding RNA (2279 nucleotides) under Setaria italica (foxtail millet). RNAcentral's name for it is "long non-coding RNA (SITA_LNC001914)". Lineage: Eukaryota; Viridiplantae; Streptophyta; Magnoliopsida; Poales; Poaceae. The record is from RNAcentral.
AAGUAUUUAACAUCAUCACAGCAUAAGCAUAUCCAUACAUAGUCCAUCACAUUACAUAAAAGGGUUCAAGUUCACAUACAUAAGUUCAUAGAGUUUUGCAGCAGAAAGUUCUAUCAUUACUCUCAUCAUACGCUACAACACAACACAAAAUAAGAAGGUUAACACUAUAUGCCGAUAGUGCCCUUCCUAUAGCCAUGGCCAUCACUUCUUACCCGCACCUCCGUCCGCGAGGUAGAAGUACCCAAAGAUAGCCUCCGGCUGCGAAUCACCUGCAACAACUUAAUGGCGGCACCGUGAGUAAAAAAGUACUUAGCAAGACUUAUCCAAAUAUGGCUAUAUACUUGCCCAACUCUCAAGAAGAAUACAUUUGGUUAAGUAGCAAGGAGUGGCAUAGGUGAUUAAUUUGCAUAAAAGCAUCUAAAUUUUGAUCAAGUUAUAAUAAGCAAAAGAUAUAACAUUAUAUGAUCUCUAAGUCAAGCAUCAAAUAAUUGCAAUAAGUAAAUGUAAUCAUGAACAUGAGUUCAAUUUUCCAUGAACUCCAUUCGAUAACUCUACUAUGAAAGCGGGGUAUCAAGAGCUUGCUUAAUGACCGAGAGCGCAGCUAUUGCAAUAGAUUAUAACCCUGCAGGGGUGUACCACUUUUCCCACACGAGACGCAAGACCGACCAUACCCCAGUCGAGGAUAAGUGUUGAUUCAUACCCCCGACCAUUCGCAUACCCACACCCGACUAUGAGCGAACGGUCGAAAGUGUAUAGGUGCACCGGACACGGCCGAUCACACCUCAUCCCACUUCGCGCCGAAUCCGAUCAAGGCAAAAUGCGACUUAUGCUACUCGGCUUGCCAUUCCUAUAUUAAGCAUGUGGUUUGCAUGUAAAAAGUUCUCAAGAACUCAGCAACAAAGCCGUGGUACUUAAUCAACUCAAACAAGUCUAAGUCAAGUGAUGUCCAAUCUCAAUAUGACCCUACCAUACUUGCUCAAGUUCGAUUUUCAUCUUUAAUAGCUGCUCAAGUUUUAAUCCAUUCAUUCGAUUUUCAUCUUUAAUAGCUGCUCAAGUUUUAAUCCAUUCAUGGCUACUCAAGUAUUAAUUAAGCAAGCAACCUAUAACUCGCGAGUGGUGGUGACCUUGCCACCUCUCGACUUCUACUGAAGCUAAGCAUGUAUAAGCAAUUAAUUUCGUGACACCUACACAAGCAUACUUACCUAGAAGAGUUGUUCUAAUUGAAGGAUGGAUAAUGCAUUAAGUAGGAGCUAAGCAACAAAUACAUAAAUAGUAACUUAUGCGCAUAUAAGACACAUAUACAUCAUUGAUCCAAAAUAGGGUUAAAAGGAUGCUUAGGUGCCUGCCUUGGUUCACAAAGGAGGCAUCGUCGGCAACGGGCUCCAGCUCGAGCUCACCCACCUCUUGCUCCGACGUCUUGGUCUCUGCACGAAUGAAAUGGUGCAUAAUUAACAACAAUGCUCGAAGAUGGUGCAAAUGAUGUAUGAGAUGCAUGGAAAAGAAGGUUCAAAGCAUAUAUUACGUGAUAGAACACUUAAAUCCUACACAAAACAAGGAUAUAUUCACGUUUCCCCUCAAAGGCAGAAUUGUAAAUAACUUGUCAAGUUGCCGAAAAUGGUAUUGCCGAUGAUUCCGGCGACCGAUUGCAGUGGGGUUUGAUCUAAAGCUUCCUUAGAUGAUGGGAAUUCAAUUUAGAUGAUGGGAAUUCAGAUUAGAUGAUGGUGGAUGCAGAAAAGGAGCAGCCUAGGGUUAAAGGCUUCGACACCACUCUCGUGCUGGUCUCCUGGACGAUAUGGAAGGAGCGGAACAACAGGACUUUUGCCAGGAGAUAGGAACAAUCGCCUCAACAACUCCUCGCCGUGAUACAGGAGGAAGUAGCAAACUGGUUUGCUGCAGGAGCACGAUGCCUGGCGAUGGCUGGCUGGAACUUCGGAGCAGAUGUUUCAUAGCACCUAGGUGAACAAUUUGGAGUUGCUAGCUGAUAGGUGGAGUGUAUGUUUAAUAAUGUAAUAAUUAUCAACUCAAAUCCGUGUACGUGCGCCCGGUGAAUGACCUGCGUGGUAACUAAACAUCUAUUUUUUCCUCUUAAUUAAAUGAUACACGGCUCUCCUGCGUAUUCUAGAAAAAAAGUCAUAGCAGCGACAUGCACGGAGGUUUGGACGAAAUGCAAUAUCAAUGAAAACGAGCUCCCGUGGAAGGUUAAUGAAGGAGCUUCCAAUGGAGAAGAAAGGAGGGGGAAAACCAUAGGGGAGCCUCACUUAGGAUGGGGAAGGACGAUG